GUAAUACUCCCUCCGUCCGGAAAUACUUGUCGGAGAAAUGAAUGUAUCUAGAUGUAUUUUAGUUCUAUUUUUAUCCAUUUUUCCGACAAGUAUUUUCGGACGGAGGGAAUAUUUG
Molecule: non-coding RNA, 115 nt
Organism: Triticum aestivum (bread wheat)
Lineage: Eukaryota; Viridiplantae; Streptophyta; Magnoliopsida; Poales; Poaceae
Source: Rfam